ACAGAGCUCAAGACCCCAGAUACCAUAACUCACGGACUGGAAGACUCAGCAGAAUAACCAGAGAUCAGAAAGGGAUUAUGACCAAGCUCUUCACACAGGACUCUGUUUAUCUAAGCAAGAAGAGCAGCACUUCUUUAACCAUUUCCACAGUGGCAGAAGUGCUCCGUGUGGGACACACACAUCUGGAUGCGCUACAUCUGAGAGCAGCACUUCUCCAAUACACAGCAGCCUCCAAUAGCAAGCGCGUGCCCAGAGCGUUUUUACACCCACUUCACAACCAGCUUUUUUUGUGAUUAGCAUCAGGAAUUGCAUCCCUUCUCCCACACUGCUGACGAAAGAGCCCAGUGACCUGCAGACCUCUGGCAGGCAGAAUUUAGGAAAGUCACAGCACUGAGCUAAAUCCAUCCUGAAGUUCAAACCAUCCCCUGGGGCUGAAGCUUGGCUACAAGAACCGGGCUGCCCAAAGGGACCAGAGAAAAACUGAGCUCCUACUCACACUGCUGAGACAAACGAUGUUUCCCUCCCCGCCGCCCCAGCGGGCGAUGCACGCAGCACGAAGCACUCCGUGUUCUCAGCGCUGCAUGCUCCUGUCCACACAAACGCUUUUUUUUCCACGUGGGAAGCCCCAGCGAGGCCAAACAAAGGGAUUCUUCAGAUUUCAGAGAUCAGGGGCAGUCACAGGGCACUCAGCCUAGCGUGGGCUGGAGAGCAGAACACGGCUCUGACACGAGCACCGGGCAGAUUAUCACAGGACAUUGCACUCAGGGAAAGUGCUCAUGUGAUUGGGAUUUAACAGACGAUUAAAUAAUGCCGGCAUUUCUGACAGCUCAUGAAGAAACUGUGAUUAAAGGACUCCAGAAAAACUCAUUUUCCUUCCUGGCUCCAAUGCCAACCUCAGGAAUUUCCCUUCCAUUAAUACAGAUGUUCAACCAAAGCCAACCAGAGCAACUGCCCCCCACUCCAAUGGGAAUGGGACAGUCCUGCCACCAGGGAGCCAGCCCUGAGGAAGCUCGGCAUGGGAAGCUGCCCCGUGCCUUGGACUUCAUCCAAAGGGCUCCAGCCACAUGGUUCACACCUCCAGAUUUCAG
Molecule: long non-coding RNA, 1088 nt
Organism: Gallus gallus (chicken)
Lineage: Eukaryota; Metazoa; Chordata; Aves; Galliformes; Phasianidae
Source: Ensembl